GGGCGCUGGGGUGGGAAGAUUGCGUGGGCCAAGGAUCACCUUGGACAUCUGGAGUCUGGCAGGAGAGGCGAUGGCGUUGAGGGGCUGGCGGGGCCCGGACGCGCCGCAGGAGUGCGGCGUGGGGUGUGAAGGGCCUCGGCCAGGGGUGCGGAGGAGAGAAGGGGGAGCCAGGCAUUCAUCCCGGUCAAUUUUGGUUUCAGGACGUGGCGGCUGGUGGACACGGGGGAGCUGGAGAUGCAGAGGGGUCGCCGGGCCUGGGCCGAGGAGUAGCUGGCAGCCACGGCAGCUGAGGACGGCGGUCUGCCGGGCAGGUGAGUCCCUUCCCCUCGCGGCCUCGCCGCCCCGGCCUUCUGCAACCAGGAGGUUCCGGGGAGCGAGGACCGCGGGGGGAAGCGGCCGCCCGCCCGGCAGAGCGGCAGGAGGAAGGCAGACGGUAGCACAGGUGACAUCGUCUCGGGGGUUGCCGAGACCGCGCAGGCUGGGGGGCCGCGGCCCGCCCAGGUGCAGAGCGCGCUUCCAGAGGGCGGAGCGAGACGAGGGGGCUGCCGGCGAGGGAGAGGACAGAGGGCCCGCAGGAGCCCACCGCCUGCACGGACACCCCAGGCCCGGUCAGACAGGACAGGAUGAGCAGGGGGACUCAGCAGGGUCCCCAGCCGCUACCACACCCACUGUAACCCACUCAGGAGCAGGCACAGGAGCGGCUCCGGCCCGCGUCGCGGCCGCCGGAGCCUCGAGGGCAGGAGAGCGAGAACGAGGGCGCAGUGCGGAGGGGCGUCACCAGAGGGAACGGCGCAGGUGCGGGCGCCAGAGAUGUCUGCAGCAAGGAGGCUGCGGGGCCCGCGUGGGCGCCGUUCCACGUGGCACUGUGACCCGGGGGUGGCGCGGGGGGACAGUCCGUCCCCGUGCGGCCCCUGGGACGGGGGGAUAGACAGUUCAGCAUCCAGGGGAGUCAAGGAUACAGGCAGGACCAGACUAGGCGAGGCGGGCAGGGCGGCGUGUGUGCGAGGGGGGGGAUCAGGGCGCAGGCAGGGGCGAGGCGCAGCGGCCUGGCAGCGAGCGAGCGAGCGAGCGAGGCGGGUGCUGGCUCCGGAGCCGUGGCCAAGGCGGGCCGCGGGCGACGACGGAGCAGGAAUCGGCGCCUCCUCCGCGUUCGAUCGGAGACCAGCCAGGUCUCAGUGGGGGUGACAACGUGCCCGCCGGCCACGGAGGCCGGGCGCCAGGAGGUGCGCAGAGCGACAUGACACGGUCCGGUGUGACGGCGAGAAGGGAGCGGAGCGCCGGGCCUCCCAGACCAUCCCGGCCGGGGCCGUGGGGAGCGCAGCGCCCAGCUGGUCUCUGUCCUUUGCUUUCCGGAAGGAGCCCACACAACUCUGCCCUCGGGACCUCAGAACCCUCCAGAUGACAAGAAAUGGUGCUACCCAGCUCACGCCUGGGCCUCGGACCCCGGACUUCUUCAAGUCCUUCUAGCUCUGACUCGAGAAUAUGCUGCACUUAGAACCACCACACAACCCGUCUCAGGAAUCGGCUCCGAAGGAUAAGCCAAAGGACCGAGAUCGGCAACACCAGCACCACCGGAAGCGAGCAGCCCCCACGGCAGCACCUGCCCCCACGGCGACACCAUCUUGGCCGCGCCCCAGCCGGGGCUGGAGACCACCCCAGCCGCCCGCCACCAGCACCCCCCCCUCCUCCUUCUUUUCCGACUUUUCUCUCUCUGCUCCCUUCUUUCCUUCUUUCUCUGUCCCUGGCUCAGCCGCUCAGCAUCCGGGACUCCGCGUCCCCACAACCCCCUGAUUCAAUUUGCACUAUAAGUCGUUUGCACUGGUUUGGGGUCCCGGACCGCCUGAGUCUCUGAGCGUGUGCGUGAGCGUGUGCGUGAGCAUGUGUGUGAGCCACUGCCGAGUGUGCCGGCCUCCUUGGGCCGGUGCCGCCCCAGCGCCCCCGCCCUCCGUCACUGGGGGUGCUGGGUGCGGCAGAGUGCGUGGGGCCCUGCCCCCCCCUCCCUAGUCUGGACGCUCCGCCCACCAGGAGCACUGAGCACAGCACUGUGCGUCUUGCCCGUGUCCCUCCUCACCCGGCUUCACCAGAAGCCGGGCAUCAUCAAUAAAUCCGUUCCAGCA
Eptesicus fuscus (big brown bat) is the source of this 2117-nucleotide long non-coding RNA. RefSeq lists it as uncharacterized. The transcript is spliced from 5 exons. NCBI's taxonomy places the organism in Eukaryota, Metazoa, Chordata, Mammalia, Chiroptera, Vespertilionidae. The record is from RefSeq and is a predicted model, not a curated record.